UUGGAUGAGUUGCGAACGGGUGAGUAACGCGUAGGUAACCUGCCUGGUAGCGGGGGAUAACUAUUGGAAACGAUAGCUAAUACCGCAUAAUAGUAGAUGUUGCAUGACAUUUGCUUAAAAGGUGCAAUUGCAUCACUACCAGAUGGACCUGCGUUGUAUUAGCUAGUUGGUGAGGUAACGGCUCACCAAGGCGACGAUACAUAGCCGACCUGAGAGGGUGAUCGGCCACACUGGGACUGAGACACGGCCCAGACUCCUACGGGAGGCAGCAGUCAGGGAAUCUUCGGCAAUGGACGGAAGUCUGACCGAGCAACGCCGCGUGAGUGAAGAAGGUUUUCGGAUCGUAAAGCUCUGUUGUAAGAGAAGAACGAGUGUGAGAGUGGAAAGUUCACACUGUGACGGUAUCUUACCAGAAAGGGCGGC
This 423-nucleotide ribosomal RNA is filed under the name Streptococcus mitis. RNAcentral's name for it is "bacterial SSU rRNA". It matches the Rfam family "Bacterial small subunit ribosomal RNA", at positions 87 to 496 of the family's 1533-position model. The record is from RNAcentral. Lineage: Bacteria; Bacillati; Bacillota; Bacilli; Lactobacillales; Streptococcaceae.